Long non-coding RNA from Sander lucioperca (pikeperch), 439 nucleotides. RefSeq lists it as uncharacterized. The record is from RefSeq and is a predicted model, not a curated record. The transcript has 2 exons. NCBI's taxonomy places the organism in Eukaryota, Metazoa, Chordata, Actinopteri, Perciformes, Percidae.
UUUACAUUCUACAUACAAUUAAUUCCAAAUUAAUAGUGGUGCACAGAAGGUCAACUGAACAUGAAAACAUUUAAAAUGUAUAGUCAUGCAUGCAUAUGUUCAGCAUAUAUGAAGAGUAAAGUUUUCAAUAAUAAAUGAAAAAUGAAUUCAUAUUUAUGUGGGCCUAAAUUUAGCUUUUCUUUCAAGGAAUUUCCUCUUGAAAUCAACUCCAGCUUAUAAAGUCAAAACAAGAGGAGGAAGAACUGGAGCGUGAGCGGGCCGUGCUGUCUUCAGGCCAGAGUGUCGGAGCCAGGUCCAGCCCCAGCAACUCAGAGGGAUCCUCAGAGUGCCGCCACAGACAGACAUGAAUUUUGGUAUAAGCAGUUAUGUGUUCAUUUGUUUGUACGCCACAUGGUCCUUUUGAUGGCUGUUUUUAUUUUAAUACAAGAAGUUGAUUAGA